UGUGACGGCGUGCCUUUUGCAUAAUGAACCUACGAGUUACUUUUUCCGGCAAGGUUAAGCAUCUUGAGAUGUGGAUCCGAAGCGAAAGCGAGUCUGAACAGGGCGGAUAGUCGGAAGGAGUAGACGCGAAACCAAGUGAUCUACCCUUGGGCAGGUUGAAGGUUAGGUAACACUAACUGGAGGACCGAACCGAUAAGCGUUGAAAAGCUUCCGGAUGACCUGAGGGUGGGGGUGAAAGGCUAAUCAAACUUGGAGAUAGCUCGUACUCCCCGAAAUGCAUUUAGGUGCAGCCUUGAGAGUUACUAAUGUGAGGUAGAGCGACUGAUAAGAUGCGAGGGCUUCACCGCCUAUCAAGUCUUGAUAAACUCCGAAUGCGCAUUAGUUCUAUCUCAGGAGUGAGGGCAUGGGUGCUAAGGUCCAUGUCCUAAAGGAGAAGAAUCCAGACCAUCAGCUAAGGUCCCCAAAUAAACACUAAGUUGAACUAACGAAGUCAGAUUGCUAAGACAGCUAGGAUGUUGGCUUGGAAGCAGCCAUUCAUUUAAAGAGUGCGUAACAGCUCACUAGUCGAGGAGUUUGGCGUGGAUAAUAAUCGGGCAUAAGUGUUUUACCGAAGCUAUGGGAUACGUAAGUAUCGGUAGGGGAGCAUUCCACUCAGCGUUGAAGGCUAAGCGUGAGCUUUACUGGAGCGUGUGGAAAAGCAAAUGUAGGUAUAAGUAACGAUAAAGGGGGUGAGAAACCCCCUCGCCGCAAGACUAAGGUUUCCUGAUCAACGCUAAUCGGAUCAGGGUUAGUCGGGUCCUAAGGCUCAGCCGAACGGUGAGGCCGAUGGCAGAACAGGUUAAUAUUCCUGUACUACCUGUA
RNAcentral lists this ribosomal RNA (861 nucleotides) under Bacteroides fragilis. RNAcentral's name for it is "partial 23S ribosomal RNA". It matches the Rfam family "Bacterial large subunit ribosomal RNA", at positions 592 to 1452 of the family's 2925-position model. The record is from RNAcentral. Lineage: Bacteria; Pseudomonadati; Bacteroidota; Bacteroidia; Bacteroidales; Bacteroidaceae.